RNAcentral lists this ribosomal RNA (681 nucleotides) under uncultured Ralstonia sp. RNAcentral describes it as "bacterial SSU rRNA". It matches the Rfam family "Bacterial small subunit ribosomal RNA", at positions 86 to 763 of the family's 1533-position model. The record is from RNAcentral. Lineage: Bacteria; Pseudomonadati; Pseudomonadota; Betaproteobacteria; Burkholderiales; Burkholderiaceae.
UGAUGGCGAGUGGCGAACGGGUGAGUAAUACAUCGGAACGUGCCCUGUAGUGGGGGAUAACUAGUCGAAAGAUUAGCUAAUACCGCAUACGACCUGAGGGUGAAAGUGGGGGACCGCAAGGCCUCAUGCUAUAGGAGCGGCCGAUGUCUGAUUAGCUAGUUGGUGAGGUAAAGGCUCACCAAGGCGACGAUCAGUAGCUGGUCUGAGAGGACGAUCAGCCACACUGGGACUGAGACACGGCCCAGACUCCUACGGGAGGCAGCAGUGGGGAAUUUUGGACAAUGGGCGAAAGCCUGAUCCAGCAAUGCCGCGUGUGUGAAGAAGGCCUUCGGGUUGUAAAGCACUUUUGUCCGGAAAGAAAUGGCUCUGGUUAAUACCUGGGGUCGAUGACGGUACCGGAAGAAUAAGGACCGGCUAACUACGUGCCAGCAGCCGCGGUAAUACGUAGGGUCCAAGCGUUAAUCGGAAUUACUGUGCGUAAAGCGUGCGCAGGCGGUUGUGCAAGACCGAUGUGAAAUCCCCGAGCUUAACUUGGGAAUUGCAUUGGUGACUGCACGGCUAGAGUGUGUCAGAGGGGGGUAGAAUUCCACGUAUAGCAGUGAAAUGCGUAGAGAUGUGGAGGAAUACCGAUGGCGAAGGCAGCCCCCUGGGAUAACACUGACGCUCAUGCACGAAAGCGUG